CUGAUACAGCACUGGAACAGGCUGCUUAAAGGUUGUGAAGUCUCCUUCUUUGGUGAUAUUCCAGACCUGCCUGGAUGCCUACCCGUGUGACCUGCUGUAGGGAACCUGCUUUAGGGGGAGAGUUGGACUCAAUGAUCUCCAGAGAUCUCUUCCAACUCCUGCAAUUCCACGAUUCUGUGAUAUACCCUUUCAUGCUGACACAACUUCAUUAAGGUAUUUGUCUGUUUGAGUACAAAGCUGCAGUCCACAGAAGAAAGCAACUGAUGUGUAAACAGACCCUUUUUUUAGGGUAUUUGACAGAAUGGAUCGAAUAUCUGAUUCGUGUAUCAUUUUAUGACUGAUUAGUUCAUUGAAAAGUGAUAGUAAAAAGGAUGUUUUAAGUGUAAGACUCCCACUUAUGGCAGAAUAAACAUGGCAUUUGUUGUGUGUAGAGCCAUACCUUCAUAUUU
RNAcentral lists this long non-coding RNA (449 nucleotides) under Gallus gallus (chicken). Its description in RNAcentral is "long non-coding RNA NONGGAT008933". Lineage: Eukaryota; Metazoa; Chordata; Aves; Galliformes; Phasianidae. The record is from RNAcentral.